GCGGUAUUGGCGGAAUUGGCAGACGCGUACGGUUGAGGGCCGUAUGGGUAAAACCGUGGUGGUUCAAGUCCACUAUACCGCACCA
RNAcentral lists this transfer RNA (85 nucleotides) under Bacillota bacterium. RNAcentral's name for it is "tRNA-Leu". It matches the Rfam family "tRNA". Rfam says of the family: Transfer RNA (tRNA) molecules are approximately 80 nucleotides in length. RNAcentral also lists the same sequence under 1 other name. Lineage: Bacteria; Bacillati; Bacillota. The record is from RNAcentral.